This is a long non-coding RNA of Chlorocebus sabaeus (green monkey), 668 nucleotides long. RefSeq lists it as uncharacterized. The record is from RefSeq and is a predicted model, not a curated record. NCBI's taxonomy places the organism in Eukaryota, Metazoa, Chordata, Mammalia, Primates, Cercopithecidae.
GUGGCAGAGGUUGAUAGUAGUCCUCCAAUGUGUAUGUUCUCCUUUCUUCGUAAUUCAACCUUGCCCUUGUUGGGUUCUUUUAUCAGUAAGAUGCUGGAGUUUAAUCAGCCACAGCAGACUGUGAGGUGGAAGCCACUUGGUGAUUGUGGCCCAGCACCAAGAUAGAAGGCAUUUGGAUCCCUGGUGAUCACAGACCCAGCAUGUCAUCUCUGCACAGGUCUUCGAGCAGCAGCCCAAGGAAGGAAAAUAAGGACACACAUUUUUGGCUGGAUUAGUAAUGUCUUUCCUUUGUCUUCAUCCACCAGUGUUCUUGCUUCUCAGAAAGUGUGGAACAUUGGCCUUCCUUUUCAGAUUCACGUGAGAGCUUGGAGAAAAGAACACAGACUAAAAGGAAUAUAAAUCCAAAAGGAUGAGUGAAAUGGGAAUACACAAGGCAUGAGCAAUAAGACUGUUCUGUCAGAAACAAUGAGAAUAACUGCUCUACAGCUUACAAACCAGAAACUUACACGUUGUAUCUCAUUAAAUUUUAUUUUGAAUAUUGAGAACAUUCAGUGCAUGCAUAAUAUUUAAAAGUCAUAACUCCAGAAGUAGAACCAGUUGAUGAAUAAAAAAAAAUUCUAGUCAAAACAUAAUUUAUCUAUUAUGUACAGGACAGGCCAAAACCUCGU